Molecule: ribosomal RNA, 495 nt
Filed under: uncultured bacterium
Lineage: Bacteria
Description: partial 16S ribosomal RNA
Rfam family: Bacterial small subunit ribosomal RNA
Source: RNAcentral
GAUGAACGCUGGCGGCGUGCCUAAUACAUGCAAGUAGAACGCUGAAGGAGGAGCUUGCUCUUCUGGAUGAGUUGCGAACGGGUGAGUAACGCGUAGGUAACCUGCCUGGUAGCGGGGGAUAACUAUUGGAAACGAUAGCUAAUACCGCAUGACAACAGUUAUUGCAUGAUAACUGUUUAAAAGGGGCAACUGCUCCACUACCAGAUGGACCUGCGUUGUAUUAGCUAGUUGGUGAGGUAACGGCUCACCAAGGCGACGAUACAUAGCCGACCUGAGAGGGGGAUCGGCCACACUGGGACUGAGACACGGCCCAGACUCCUACGGGAGGCAGCAGUAGGGAAUCUUCGGCAAUGGACGGAAGUCUGACCGAGCAACGCCGCGGGAGUGAAGAAGGGUGUCGGAUCGUAAAGCUCUGUUGUAAGAGAAGAACGAGUGUGAGAGUGGAAAGUUCACACUGUGACGGUAUCUUACCAGAAAGGGACGGCUAACUACGUG